This 227-nucleotide ribosomal RNA is filed under the name uncultured bacterium. Its description in RNAcentral is "partial 16S ribosomal RNA". It matches the Rfam family "Bacterial small subunit ribosomal RNA", at positions 120 to 334 of the family's 1533-position model. The record is from RNAcentral.
CGGAACCUAUCACGGGACGGGGGACAACUCCGCGAAAGCGGGGCUAAGACCGCGUACGCUCUUUGCGGAAGGACGCAAAGAGGAGAAGGGGGCGUGAGGAGCGCCCGCUGGCCUGUGCGGGGCGUGCGUCUGAUUAGCUAGUUGGCGGGGUAAGAGCCCACCAAGGCGACGAUCAGUCGCUGGUCUGAGAGGAUGAUCAGCCACACUGGGACUGAGACACGGCCCAG